CCUACGGGGGGCAGCAGUGGGGAAUAUUGCACAAUGGGGGGAACCCUGAUGCAGCGACGCCGCGUGAGUGAAGAAGUAUUUCGGUAUGUAAAGCUCUAUCAGCAGGGAAGAAAAUGACGGUACCUGACUAAGAAGCCCCGGCUAACUACGUGCCAGCAGCCGCGGUAAUACGUAGGGGGCAAGCGUUAUCCGGAUUUACUGGGUGUAAAGGGAGCGUAGACGGCGAUGCAAGUCAGAAGUGAAAGCCCGCGGCUCAACUGCGGGACUGCUUUUGAAACUGUAUAGCUUGAGUGCAGGAGAGGUAAGCGGAAUUCCUAGUGUAGCGGUGAAAUGCGUAGAUAUUAGGAGGAACACCAGUGGCGAAGGCGGCUUACUGGACUGUAACUGACGUUGAGGCUCGAAAGCGUGGGGAGCAAACAGGAUUAGAUACCC
This 432-nucleotide ribosomal RNA is filed under the name uncultured bacterium. RNAcentral describes it as "bacterial SSU rRNA". It matches the Rfam family "Bacterial small subunit ribosomal RNA", at positions 338 to 787 of the family's 1533-position model. The record is from RNAcentral.